This 237-nucleotide long non-coding RNA is filed under the name Mytilus galloprovincialis (Mediterranean mussel). Lineage: Eukaryota; Metazoa; Mollusca; Bivalvia; Mytilida; Mytilidae. The record is from RNAcentral.
CAGAAAUGGUCUACCAGUAUUUGACACGAGAAGGCCUAGGUACAGUAGGACUAGCUUUCUUGCAUGUUUGUCAGAGGGAUGACCCUAGUAAAAAGGUCUGACAUUCCAUACCUGAUAAUGAAAGAAAACACCAGAAACUAUUUACUGAGGUGAUUUUAAAUAAACUAAAUGGGAUUUCAUAUAUGAACAUAAUUAGUCCCUGAUUCAUAAAAAUUGUACAGUAUAUUUAAAGUACAA